AGAUCCAGCAUGGUGUAGUGGUCUGAGCAUUGGAUUAUGACUCUGGAGGCCAGGGUUUGAUCCCCUGCUUGGAUCUG
This is a non-coding RNA of Phrynosoma platyrhinos (Desert horned lizard), 77 nucleotides long. Lineage: Eukaryota; Metazoa; Chordata; Lepidosauria; Squamata; Phrynosomatidae. The record is from the annotation of a GenBank genome assembly.